UUUAUUUGAUUAUGUGAUUUAUUAAGUGGCUUAUGUUGUUAUUUAAUAGAUUAAGAUUUGAAAAUAGAAAUAAGAUUGAGUUGAGAGUUUGUUAUGAGAUUUUAGAGAGUUUUGGGGGAGAAAGAUAAAUAAGAUAAAAUAGAAAAAGGGUUAUAAAUAGGAGAAACCUAGUUUAGAAAAAACAUAACGUAGGAUCAAUUUUGGAGAAAAUGGAGAAAAAGCCGAGAGGAGGGAGAAGACCUAGGAGUGCUGCGAUUUUCAUCUAUAAGGUAAGGGUGGGACUAACAUUCAAUAAUCUUAAGUCAUCGAUUCUGAAAAUUGGAUUUAACAUGUUGUAGGUUUUAGUUUUUGAGAAUUUGGGAAUUAGGGUUAAAAGUGAUUAUUUGAUGAUUUUCUAAAAUAAUGUUUUGGGUCAAGUUUUAUAUGGUUUUGAGUCUCUUUUGAUGUAUAUAAAUGUUUAGACAAACUUUUGGGAUCAAAUUUGGGCAUAGGGAAGUUAAAAUUGGGAUUUUGGGGUGAAAAGUGUGUUUUUUCCCGAGUUGCUCUCUGACAGCAUGUCCUGUUUCAUGUUCUUGCGUCUUUUUCACACGUUUCUGUUUUGAAUUAGCCUUUGGUGUAAACAUGAAAGUUGUAGAUACUUGUGUUAGCCUUCCAGUGGCGUCGGUUUGACUUGAAAAUGAAUUUUGGUUUAUGAGUUAAGGUCAAAUUACUGCACGUAGGUCACAGUGAAUUUUUAUGAAUUUCAGCACAACUUUGUCCGAAUAUGAAAUGAAAACCGGUAUUGAUUGGUACAGAAUUGGUCUUAGGUGUAAACACGAAAGUUGUAGGUAUAAAUGUUAGCUUUCUAAUGCCGUUGGUUUGACUUCAAAAGGAUUUAUAGAAUUUGAGUUAUGGUCAAAUUACUAAACGUAGGUCACAGUGAAUAAUUGAUUAUGAUUGAUGAAUUAGUAUAUGUAUGUAUAUGUUUGUGAAUACGAUAUUGUCCAUGAUUGAUGAAGUGUUAUAUGUAUAUAUGAUGUUUUAAGAUGUUGAUUAUUAUUUGAUGUUGUUAUAUUGUGAUAUAAUUGUAUAUGCAUUACUUGAAUUAUAUGUGAAUAAUUGAGACGUUGUUGACUUGCAUUUGAUAUUAUUAUGUCAUGCUGUUUUUGUAUACUGUUGUGUUGCUGUUGUUAUUUAACUAAGCUGCAUGAGUUGGUCUAAGUUGAUUAAGAUGAUGAAGUUCCAAAUUAUUGGAUUAUAUAAGAGGUUGUCGAUUUAAGAUAUUACGAGGUCGAGUCCAUGCAUUAGCAUUUCAUUGUUGGGGGCUUGAUGCCCUGGAGCCUUUGCUCAAUUAAGUUGAGGGCUUGAUGCCCUAGGAGCCUUUUUACGCUCAAAUAAAGUUGAGGGCUUGAUGCCCUAGGAGCCUAUUUACGCUCAAAGAUUGGUACCACAUGCAUGAUUAGAAGAUUAAGUUGCAUAGUCAAGAGGUUAAGUUGUCAAGUUGUCAAGUUAUCAAGUUGUCGAGUUGUUAAAUCAUGAAAUUGUUUAAAGCUGUGAUUCUUUAUAUGAACUAUUAAAGAAGUGAAUUAUGAUAUAUUAUUAUCUAUGAUGAAUAUUAUGAUGAUUACAUGAUGUUGUCUAUGAGUUGUUAAAUAUGAUUGAUGAUGCUUAUGUUGUUAAAUGUAAUUGAUGAAUUAUAUGCUUAAUAUUAUUAUUUGUGAAAUCUCACCCCUUCUGUUUGCCCACCAUGGGUAACUAACAGGUAACCAAGAAUAGUUGAUGUCGUGUGAGCUUUCCUUCUCGUGUGUCUUAGGUGCUCUGAUACGUAACGG
This 1811-nucleotide long non-coding RNA is filed under the name Medicago truncatula (barrel medic). RNAcentral describes it as "long non-coding RNA (MTRU_LNC002508)". Lineage: Eukaryota; Viridiplantae; Streptophyta; Magnoliopsida; Fabales; Fabaceae. The record is from RNAcentral.